Anolis sagrei ordinatus is the source of this 7664-nucleotide non-coding RNA. The record is from RefSeq and is a predicted model, not a curated record. NCBI's taxonomy places the organism in Eukaryota, Metazoa, Chordata, Lepidosauria, Squamata, Anolidae.
GAGAGCACACGCGGGGAGGAGGAGAGAGGGAAGACGCAGGAGGAAGUGGAAGGCGUCUCCUCUCUCGGUUGUCCUCCAUCUCUGGCCGGCCUCAGCGGCGCGCGCAGAGUCCCCGGAUGAGCCUUGGAGGAGACAGAUGUAGAUAAUACCUGGGCCUGAAAGCAACUCCUCUUAAAAUGUCAGCUCUAAGCAAUGAUUGCUCACAUUUGGAGUCUGUUGGUGAAAUCACUAAAGAAGACUUAAUACAAAAAUCUCAUGGCACUUGCCAGGACUGUAAAAUAAAAGGACCCAAUCUUUGGGCAUGUUUAGAGAAUCGAUGCUCAUAUGUUGGUUGUGGAGAAUCUCAUAUAGAUCACAGCACCAUACAUUCUCAGGAAACAAAGCACUGUCUGACAGUUAAUCUUACGACGUUACGUGUCUGGUGUUAUGCAUGCAGCAAAGAAGUGUUUCUUGAUAGAAAACUGAGAUCCCAUUCUUCGCUGCAAAAUGUACGGCUGUCUCACCAAACUCCGGACAUCAUCAUGCAGGACAUUAGGUUGCCUAGCAUCCCAACACUGAAAAUUCCUCUGAUUGCAACAUUUGAUGACCUAGAUAUACAAGUAGAUGAAGAAGAUGAAUUCAAAGCAAGAGGACUGACCGGUUUGAAAAACAUUGGGAACACUUGUUACAUGAAUGCAGCUUUACAAGCUCUUUCAAAUUGCCCACCAUUGACACAGUUUUUCCUUGACUGCGGAAACUUAGCUCGGACUGAUAAGAAACCUGCUAUAUGCAGAAGUUACUACAAGCUCAUGACUGAACUUUGGCAUAAAAGCAGACCUGGAGCCGUUGUCCCAACAAAUUUAUUCCAAGGAAUCAAAACAGUUAAUCCAGCAUUUCGAGGCUAUUCCCAACAGGAUGCCCAGGAAUUUCUGCGUUGUUUAAUGGAUUUGCUACAUGAAGAGUUAAAAGAGCCUGUUGUCACACUAGAGGAUACUAGCCCAACAAUCGCAGAAGAGAGAGGAGAAGAAGAGAGGAGCCAAUCAGAUGGAGAUUCUGAGUCAUGUGACAACACUGACAAAGAAGAAGCCGAAUCUUGGUCAAAACCUGUGAUAGAGAACCUUUCAGAGGAUGCGAUGUUAAUUGAGGAGGAUGAAAGUGUAUCAAAAGACCAUCAGAAUGAGAAAUCCUUGUGUACCAAGAUGAACCCAGCAGGUUCUAUGGAAAACAUAGAAAAAGAUAUAAACAAUUUAUUUGAAAUGGCUGAACUUUUGAAUAACCAAGAAACAGUGAAAGUGCAAAUACACAGCAGAUACUCAGACUAUGUCAAUGAUGUUCAUAUGAACGAUGUGUCGGCACCACAAAGUUAUUCUUCGAAGGAUGGAAGCAAUGCACGACUAUCAACCAGCCCCCCUAAGUCAGGUUCCUUCUGGUCUGGACUGGCAACCCCACACAAAAAGGUUCCGGUUGCACCAUCCUCUAAAAAGAAGAAACAUAAACAAUACAGGAGUGUUAUCUCAGACAUAUUUGAUGGAACUAUUGUAAGUUCCGUGCAAUGUCUGACAUGUGAUCGGGUGUCAGUUACCCUGGAGACUUUCCAGGAUUUAUCGUUGCCUAUUCCAGGUAAGGAAGACCUUGCUAAGCUGCACUCUGCAAGUCAUCAGACAUCUCUUGUCAAGGCAGGGUCAUGUGGUGAAGCAUAUGCUCCUCAAGGAUGGAUAGCUUUUUUUGUGGAAUAUUUCAAAAGGUUUGUUGUCUCAUGUAUUCCUAGCUGGUUUUGGGGUCCAACAGUUACCUUACAAGAUUGCCUCGCUGCCUUUUUUGCUAGAGAUGAACUGAAAGGUGACAAUAUGUACAGCUGUGAAAAAUGUAAAAAGUUAAGAAAUGGAGUAAAAUUCUGCAAAGUUCAACACUUUCCUGAGAUUUUAUGCAUUCAUCUCAAGCGAUUCAGGCAUGACCUUAUGUUUUCUACAAAAAUCGGGACCCAUGUAUCCUUUCCCUUGGAAGGGCUUGACCUUCAACCUUUUCUUGCUAAGGACAGUCCAGCUCAGAUAGUGAUGUAUGAUCUCUUAUCAGUCAUCUGCCAUCAUGGAACUGCCAUCAAUGGCCAUUAUAUAGCUUAUUGCCGGAACAACCUAAAUAACCGAUGGUAUGAAUUUGAUGAUCAGAGCGUCACUGAAGUAACAGAAUCUACUGUCCAAAAUGCCGAAGCAUAUGUUCUCUUCUACAGAAAAAGCAAUGAAGAAGCCAAAAGAGAGAGACAAAAGCUGUCAAAUCUCAAUGUGAUGGAACCAAGCCUCCUCCAGUUUUACAUUUCUCGACAGUGGCUGAAUAAAUACAGGACUUUUGCAGAGCCAGGACCUAUUUCAAAUAAUGAUUUCCUCUGCAUACAUGGAGGAGUUCCUCCAUACAAGGCUACAUCAAUUGAGGACCUGGUAGUAAUGCUGCCUCAGAACAUCUGGGAUAGCUUAUAUAGCAGGUAUGGUGGAGGACCAGCUGUUAACCAUCUGUAUGUUUGCCAUACUUGCCAAGUGGAAGCAGAGAAAAUAGAGAAAAGAAGAAAAACAGAACUGGAAAUGUUUGUUCGGCUCAAUAAGGCAUUCCAGGAAGAAGAUUCGCCGUCCAUAUUCUAUUGUAUCAGUAUGCAGUGGUUCAGAGAAUGGGAGGGGUUUGUGAAGGGCAAGGACAGUGAUCCUCCAGGAUCCAUUGAUAAUGCCAAAAUUGCUGUCAACAAAUGUGGUACUGUUGUUCUGAAACAAGGAGCUGAUUCUGGACAGAUUUCUGAAGAAACAUGGAAUUUUCUACAGUCAAUAUAUGGAGGAGGACCGGAAAUCGUACUAAGGCCACCGGUUGCCCAAAGUGAACCUGAAUCACUACAGAGUGAAGAUAAGAUUGAGUUAGAAACAUGUGCUCUGUAGCCAUCAACAGUGUGUUUUUAGGAGAGAUCUUCAACUCAAAAUACAUUCCCAAAAUCUUUUGUUUUGCUGUUUGGUCUGUGAGGUGACAAGACGUUGGGCAUUACUUCAUCUGUGGAAAAUCAAUUGGCACUUGUAUAGAGAUUCUAAAAGUAUAUUAGAGUUUUCAAAGACAGGUAUUCUCUUGAAAAUGUAACUUACUUGUCUCAUUUAAUUGUAAGUAUGUGAAGUACAGAUGGAAGAUUUAACCAUUCUUUUCAAUAGAUCUUUACAGACUUUUAAAUCAAAUUUAGUCGAGAUGAGAUUAAAGGAGAACCUUUAGAUGGAAAGAAGUGAAAUUUAACAAAUGAAAUUAUGGUUCUAAUUUCCUAUGAAAACUCAGGAAAAGUUAGAUGUUGCUUUUAUUUGCACUGCAGUAUAGAAGAAACAUAAUGAACUAAACUGUCAAAUCGUUUUGUUUCAGUGUGUCAGGUAUAUGAAUGAUUCAGAUAGAACAUUGUUUUUGUUAGCAGAUAUAAAUAAGGUCCUAUCUAAUGUUUAAGACAACUUUGACAUAUAUAUAAUCUAAUAUAAUCAAUAGUGUAUGUAUUUAAGCAAAACCAUACUUGUUAAGAGUGUUCUUGAGUGCAUGAAGUGGGUAUGUUUAUUGCUUGUGCAUUGGAGGAAUUUUCUAAACUUUUUUAAUGCACAGUUUCAUGUGGAAAGAAAUAUUGUAUAGUUAGGCAAUGCUCAUUGGCAUGAUUUAUGAUGUCAGACGUUGACUUGAAUCCACACAAGAAGAUUGCAAAAGCAUUCUUGAUUAUUCAUAUUGAAGUGUUGAAUGUCACCCAAAUGUCUUUCUUCCUGAAUAUUGCUACAAUACAAGCAAUAUUAUUAAAUGCUAGUUCAAUAAAAACAGUUUUUAAAAUGUUAAGGUGUUUGAAAAUUAUCCAUAGUGAAAAGCUGUGUGUUUAGGAAUAUAAAUGAGCACUACAGUAUCCAGUGUGAAAAAUGAAAUCGUUUUGACUGGAGAAACCUUCAAAAGCUUCUUUAAAAUUUCAGCACUUCCCAUUGAAAUGACAAUCAGGCACAACUGAAAAAGGUCAGCAAGAACUUUCUCCAAAUUCUCUUAAAAUAUUAGUGAAUUGUGGUUAUAACUGUCAUACUCUAUUCUGGUAUGAAGCUUUGUAUUGAAACUGUUUCACUACAUGAUGAAGCACAAAGCAGUCCUUGUUCAUAAGGACAAUUCAGUGAAGAUAAAAACAUCCAUAUGGAAGAAAUCUUAUCCCCCACAUCAUUUUGUUACAGUGGCUUUAGAUUCUCUGUAUGCAUAUGGGGUGCGUGGGUGACCUUAAAUUGUUUGUCAUGUUUUGGUCAAUUAGAAAUACUGGGUUUGCAUUUCAUCUGUCUGUGUCUUGGAAAACAAAACACAUAAAAUACCCUUGGUAUUUUGGUAUAAACCAAACUAAUAUCAUAGCUGCUGGAAAGUAGCAGUUCCUGUUCUCCAAUAUAAUUAGUUAUAACCUAACUGGAUAGAUAGGUCCAGUCUGCCUUUAUAAGUUAAAAGGACAAUAUUGGUUUUAACUUCUUUCCCUUUCAAUGAAAAUUGAAAUGUUUUAUCUGUCUGCAAGUCUUUUCAUAGUGAGAGUGUGACACAGUUGUGUAUCUCUUAUCCAAAAUGCCUGGGCCCAGAUAUGUUUUGGAUUCUGAAUUUUUUAGAUUUUGGAAUAUUUGUAUGCACUUAAUGAAAUAGACCCAAUUCUAAACACAAAAUUCAUUUAUGUUUCUUACACACCUUCUACAGAAUAGUUAGCGGAUUUUGUAUGGGAAAAGUAACGUAUUUCUCUUACUUAGCCCCUACAGUGUAUUAUUAUUCAAAACAUUUAUUGAAUUGCAGACUAGUUUCUAAGGAAAACUAAAGCAUUAGUUGGUUUAACUGUAUUGCACGUAUUUAUCUAGCUACCUUUCUGUAAUAUACUGUUUCAAGAAAAUAUGUCCUGGUUCCUAUAGCAACCGAUCUCUCUCUUCUCGCCACCUUUCAAAUUGUAGAUCAAAAAGAACUGAAAUGUUGCAUAGACUGACAUUUUUACAUGCUUGUGUCCUUCAUCCCAACCAGAGCAAAUCUUCAAAAAGAGACACAAAGCGUUUGAUGAGAUUUUUCAACCCAAUUAGUUGAACUUCCUCUUUGCCAGAAUUCUAAUUGCUCUUAUUUCUGUGGAUUAAACGUUGACGAUGAAUCAAAAUUGCUAAUUAAAACUUUGAUCAAGUUAUGGGCUAAAUCCCAUGCUUCACUGCUUUCUUUCCCUCCCACUUCCACUGUCUUUACAAUCUGAAAACCUACACGGGGGGGGGGGGGUUCCCACUCCCCAGGGGCACAUCUUCAUUGGAGCCUGGUGAUAAAAGACCCCACCCUGUUUCCCAGUAAAGGCCAUAUUCUGGAUUGACCCUGGGGUAUUCUGUCUCUGUAGAACCACACCAGGACAAGUUUUUAGGGAGUUGUUGAGGUUGCUGUGAGAAGGUGGGAGGACUGAUUGCCUGCCAGCCAGUGAUGCUCAAUCCUGCUUCUAUAUGCAGAACACCACUACUGCAUAUUACCAUAUCCUUCUAAAGUACUGAAGAACAUUUUGUAUUUAAUCAACUUCCUUCUUACAAAAAAAGGCAGAAUAGUACAGUAGAAGCGAUGCGAUAGCUCUACUCUGAACUGAAUUUGAAGUAGAAGUCUUCUAGGUGAAUGUUAUUACCAAAGCAAAAAAAGCUCAAAUAAAGGCGACUGAAAUUAAAUCAGACUACUGUUCAUUGUCAGAAUUGACCCAAUUUAGUUACAUGACCUAAGCUUUAAUCACAAUGUCAUUUUAAUUUCCAUCUUGCCAUUACCAUAUGAACUCAAUAAAUGCUUGAAAAGAAGGGAUCUUGAGUACACUUUGGAGCAGUUUCAGUGCCACAAUAACAUUCCCACAGUUCUGAAGGUCGUCUUUUCAAAUAAAUCAACCAAUUCCGACUAUAAAACCUUGUGUGUAUCAAAGGGAAUCAAAAAGAUCGUUGUGUUCUAGAAAUAGAAGUUCUAAGUAAAUGUCACAGCAAAUGUGAUGCUUUGUUCUUCCACUGUCCAUCAUAAAAAAUGUAUGAUGUUAAAUCAUUGUACUAUAAGGUGUGUUUAUGGGCUUCUAUUUUGGUUGGUAUUUAAGCUACGACAGAGCAUAUGAAAAACUGCUGGAUCAGAUUCAAGCCUUUUUUGUCCAAUCAUUUAUUUUCAGUGAUCAAUCAAUUACUUAUGGGAAGACUACCUAAAGGACAUUAUUGUCUAAGGCUUAAAGGUUGAUGGCUUCGAAUGAACAGACAUUUUGUUUCAGGAAAAAUCUGGCUUAUAAAUGUUAUGAUGCAUCUUCACAAUAAUGCUCACUACUAACUAUAACUAGAGACUAGAGUCUGCCUUUAAGAACCAUAUAUAGAACACAAGAUUGGAAGAAAGCUAUGGAAAACAAAUCAUUCUAUUCAGAUGGUCUAAUGAACAAUGUUUAAAGAUAUGGCAACAUCUGCAUUGUUCUUUGCAAAAUCUCCCUCCCACCAAUUAAAAAUAAACUUUAAUACUGACAGUUUAUAUCUUGUCUCGGAAUAUGAAAUAGCGCAGGAUAAGCAUAGCUGUUAAUACAUGAUUUUAAAAAUGAUUUGUGUUAAAGGAAUUAGGAAAUUCUAUUUCUGUGUUUUGUGAUUCUUUUUACAAUGAUGUCACGAUUUCCAUAGAAUAGGAAUAAUUCCUAUUUAAAAUUUAAAAUUUUAGUUUUACAUUUAGGUCAGUUGGUAUAAGUGACAUAAAUUAUUAUAUGAGUCUCUGAUAAAUGUCCUUGCUUCACUUUUAAGCUUUAAACUACUUUUCAGGAUUCAAAAGUCCAUGUUUCCCCUUUAAUUAAAAGUUGGAUGACAAAUUUAUGGAAUAAUGGCUGGACACUCAGUAGAAUCUUUGAUCUCCAAGUGAUUUAUACCGUUUGAGUUUCAAAUGUUAGACUUCACAAUUAAACAAAUCAAAUUCUCAUUGUAUGUUUUGGUAUAUUAAUAUAGAGGUUAUAACACUUAAUCAGGAUGCAAAAAAGGGUGUAUUACUAGAAACAGCCAACCUUGUGAAUCUUUGCUUGAAACAAAGGAUGAGAGUGCUGUGUGUUGAUCAUUUUCUGCUCAGGUUUUAUGCUUUAAGCACUUUUAGCCUCAGGGUCCAGGCCUUCUCUCUGUACUACAUUUUCUUCCUUUAAAGACUGCAAUAUACUUGCCUUUUAAAGCUUUUUCCCCCCGUUAAACUUUCUUUCUCUCAUUGUUGUUGUAUUUUUAAACACCUUUUGCUUGGAAAAAAACCCUUUUGGAUUAAGGACUUUUGGCUUUUUGGACAUUUUGUUUUAAUUUAAUUUGAAUUUUAUUUUGUUUGCUGUAAUCGUCUAAAAAUCUUGGGCUGUCCAUCAGAGUGGUAUAUAUACAUUUCUUUAAUAACCAGAGUUAAACAUUGUUAUGUACCACUAGAAUGGAUUAAAGAUUAAACUGAGCUUCAAUGUUUAAUGUUUAUUCUGAUUUGUUUUCUGAACUACUAUUUGUCAUCUAUUAUAUUUUGAUAACAAUUUACUAUUUCAUCAUGUUAAUGACAUGCUAACUGCUUAAUUAUUACACCUUGUUUUAGUACAUAUUUAUUGCUUUAGUUGCUAUGCUUGUUAAUAUUAUUACCACUUGUACUAUUGCAUUAUUCACUAUAUUUAUAAUCAUCAGUUGCUUUUCACCAUUUUGUCUAUCACUACAAUACAUUUUAUUUAUUUA